Molecule: ribosomal RNA, 484 nt
Filed under: uncultured bacterium
Lineage: Bacteria
Description: partial 16S ribosomal RNA
Rfam family: Bacterial small subunit ribosomal RNA
Source: RNAcentral
AUUGAACGCUGGCGGCAUGCUUUACACAUGCAAGUCGAACGGCAGCGCGGGCUUCGGCCUGGCGGCGAGUGGCGAACGGGUGAGUAAUGCAUCGGAACGUGCCCAGUCGUGGGGGAUAGCCCGGCGAAAGCCGGAUUAAUACCGCAUACGACCUGAUGGUGAAAUCGGGGGACCGAAAGGCCUCGCGCUAUUUGAGCGGCCGAUGUCGGUUUCGCUAGUUGGUGGGGUAAAGGCUUACCAAGGCGACGAUCCGUAACUGGUCUGAGAGGACGACCAGCCACACUGGGACUGAGACACGGCCCAGACUCCUACGGGAGGCAGCAGUGGGGAAUUUUGGACAAUGGGGGCAACCCUGAUCCAGCAAUGCCGCGUGCGGGAAGAAGGACUUCGGGUUGUAAACCGAUUUUGUUCGGGAAGAAAUACUCUGGGCUAAUACCCCGGGGGGAUGACGGUACCGGAAGAAUAAGCACCGGCUAACUACGUG